This is a long non-coding RNA of Serinus canaria (Common canary), 9803 nucleotides long. RefSeq lists it as uncharacterized. The transcript is spliced from 4 exons. NCBI's taxonomy places the organism in Eukaryota, Metazoa, Chordata, Aves, Passeriformes, Fringillidae. The record is from RefSeq and is a predicted model, not a curated record.
GAGGCAUAGGCUGAUUGACGUGCCAGCCGGCCAAUGGCGUACAAACCCACAGCUGGGCGGGCGGGAUUACCUGCUCCAAGGUGUGCCGGGUGGGGUGCGGGGAUGGUUCUGAGGGCAGAGCUGGGGGGCUCGGGGAGCCGUGAGGGACAGCGCGGGGGGCACGAGCAGGAUUUGGGCUGCUGGGAGCGCGGCUGGAACGGACUGGGGCUGGCGGGGAUCCUGCGGGAGGAGGCGGCCGCAGCGGCAGGCAGGAGCGGCGAGGGGCGGGCAGCCGGGCGGAAGUGUGGGAGUUUUUAUCUUUUUUUUUUUUUUUUUUUUUUUUUCUUCCUCCGAGGGUUUUUCACUACCUACUUUGGUGCGAUCUCAGACAGGCGGUGCUGAUUGGCUCGGGCUGCUGCGGCAGAGCCCGGCGCUUCCCGCCGGCACCCGCGCAUCCCGGAUCCCGGCACUGCUUCAUCCCGGCGGCCGAAACAACGGGCGGGUUGUCCUCGGAACAAAGGCGGCCCUGAGGAAAUGCUGCUGCCGGGGCGCUCCGAGAAGCUGCUCUUCCGUGUUCAUGGCAGUCCUGCUCGCCCUGACGAAAAUGCUCAUUCCUUAAUGUUUCUGGCCGGCGAGGCUCGGGCUGCUUGUAAAUCAGAGUACAAAGGCAUCUGCUGACGGUACAAAAUGUAUAUAUAGAAAGUUAGGUUUUUAUCACCGAAUCCUGACUGCAGUGGUGUUCCCGGCUUGAGUCGAUGAGCAAAAAGCCCCCAGCAUCAAAAGCUUAUUUGUUGAGUAUGUGCCUUCCUGUAAGAAGGAAACAAAAACAAGACUCGAUGGUGGCAUUUUCAGGGCUGGGGUAUGAAGGAAUAACACUUCAUUACAACUAUCAUGAAACCACUACUAAAUUGGCAUGCAGCAGGGGUGAGCAAUGCUUACACACCUUGCAGUUUUCAUCCACAUUGCUGUUCUAGUUAAAAGGGUUUAAUUUUUAUUUGAUAUAUCCCCUCUCUUGAGGCUACCACAGUAGGUGCUCUUUGUAGAUGUUUUUUAGGCCUGUUCACCUGAGAGAGAAGUUGCUGAAAGAGCCCUGUAGGUGGGUGCAUUGAAAAAGCCAUCCUGUUUCAUUAGGCUCUUCUGCUGGGUGUCUUACUCCUGCCAGGGGUUCCUUUUCUGCAAAAGCUCUUGCAUCAGAUUUGUAAUGAAACUAGCAAAAAAGAGCUACCAGCAAGACUCAGACUUUACCUGGCCUGAGAGGAUACUUCUUCCCUAGGCCCCUUUCUGAUACAUUUAAUCAAGGAAUGCUUAAAUUUGACCCCAAAUCUUGACUUACUCUGAAAGUAUUACCACGAAAUUAACAGGGAUGUGUUUGAUUUUUUUUCCCUUUUGAAAUGUAGUUCUAAACCAAGUCAGAUAAAGUGCCUGUGUAGUAGGGAGAGCUUCAGUCCUGUCAGUAAGUUUCUCUGGACAACUUCUGGUCCUGCCUCCUGCUGUGAUUGUGGCUUGCAGAGGAAAUCAAGGAAAUCAAGGCAGCGGUGGUCAGAGCCGUGUGGCAGUGCCACAGCAGACCUCCAUCUCUGGUGGUGGGUGACAGAAACCUGGGGCAGCCGUGCUUUCUAGUUGUAUUGGUGUGGGUAAUUGGUCUGUUACUGCUCCAGGCUUGCUCUUUCUAGAUGGGUUUCACUCUGACAGAGGGGUGCAGAAGUGAGACAUCCUGGGGAGGAGGGGAGGAGAUGAUGCAAGGCCAUGAGAACAGGGCUGGGGCUAUUUCAUGCUAUGUACUUAUAAGGGCAAAUGAGGUGGAACUGGCCUCUUGGCUCAGUCUGCUCUGAGAGGUGGUUUUGAAAACGUUGCAGAAGGUUGAGAAAGUAUCUAACCAGUUAAAGGAAAUUCAGCAGGGACAAGAACUCCUUCACCAGCACAGUAAGAGAAAACUCUCACUUUUAACCUGCCUCAUGAGAAAGAUGUGCCUGCUCUCGGAAGGGCACUCACUCACCAACAACCACAACGGCUUUUUGAAAUGUUUAAUUCCCCAGAAGACAAAACAGCAUGGCCUACUGAGGAGAGGCAGGAUCUGUGCACCAAAAUACACAUACAAAUGUGUGGUUAUGGUGGUACCUGCCUUAGCACAGGGCUUCACAGCCAUGCCCUGCUGUUCCAGCACUGGGAGCUCCAGCCCUGCCCCAGAGCUGCCUGCUGGGGAUGAAGAGUGUGUAUGGCAGGCUGGGAACCCCUGUUGCAUGCCAAUCCCGUGCUGCUGGUUCUGCAGGGAAAGGGAGCCAGCUUCUCCAGCCCUGUGCUGCUCCCUGACCUGACAGCUCUCUCCUCAUGUGCCUUAAGCAUCACCCUGACCCUGUGUAAUGCUGGGCUUCCCUCAGCCCAGGCUUGCAGCAGGGUCCUGUCAAAGCUGUUGUGUCACUCUUGCCUUGGUGCCCAAACCAAGGGGGAGCUCCCUGGCUUGGGGAGGGCAGGAGGAAAUUUUGUUUCUCUUUCUGAGUUCCCCUCUCUAUCAGUGCCCGCCUUUGGCGCUGAUAGAGAGGGGAACCAGGACCCGGGCAGAGGUGAGGAAGUUGCUGCCACCCUGACACCAGCACCUCUGGCUUAGUGUGUUGCACAGCUUGUUACACCCUCUGGUGUGUGGUUGAGCAAGGCUAAAGCUGCCUUGGGGUGAGACCCCUUUGUCCCCAGCCUCUGAGUGCAAUACAAGGUAGUCACAAUGACAGACAGAAAUGGUAUGAAUUGCAUGGUGGAGAAGAAGGGUGUUUUUACUAGCUCUUCUGCUUUUCAACAGUGAAUCAGCUUUGCCCUUUUUUCCAUAGUGUUAGUGCUAUAAAUAAUCCAGGCUGGAAGCUCAAGCUGCAUGUUUGGGUGAACUAUCAUGAAAGGUGAAUCCCCCUCCUGCUCUUAAGGCAAAUGGUAUUUGCAAUCAGCCUGAAACUUCCCCCCCCCCCCCCCAAAAUCCAUCCCUCAGCCGGGGGGGACCCUGAGAGAUUCCAGCAGUUCUGUAGGUGGUGGUGACCACUUAGGUUCCUGUCAGAAACACCGGUGUGAACUGCAGCUGGCAAAUGUCUGCCCAAUGAAGGAUUGCUUCAAAAUCCAGCAUGGUCAAUAUAAAAAGUCACCUGUGUCUCCAUUUUCCAAUGAGACCCUACAUCAACAAAAACCUGAGAUCAAUACAUCCAUUUUGCUGACUUUGUAGCUUUUGAGAUGGUGACUACUUGCUUACUUUAUAUGCCUCAGCUAUUUGAACUCCCCCUCCCGUCCUUCAAGCUACUGACUCAUUUCCUCCUCUAAAACCUUCCUUUUUUAGCCUUUCGCUCUGAAGUAUUUAGUGUCUGUUUUGAGCUGCAUGCUCCAUGCCUUACUUAGGCAAACUCCUACAUCAAAGCCCUGCAAGCCAUGGUUUUCUACCAUGGAAAUCGUUUGUUUUCCCUGAUGGUUUCAGUCCUGAGGGGCAGCCUUGGCUACUGACUGUGCUCGUCGGCAAAUUGCUGCUCUGCUGUUGGAAAUCGGGGAGGCGGACAAUCGGCAAAGCAGCUGGUGAGCUGAGGCUGCCGCUGCUUAUGCUAAUUGCUGUUGUCUCCCUCUUAGCCCCGCUUCCCCCAUCUGCCUGCAUCCACCUGCUGUCUUUUCAUCCACUUUUACCCUGAGCAGGGAUCACAGAGGCUCCUGUUUGGCUGAACAACCUCAGAGCGCCCGGACUCUAUGCUGUCUGAUGCCGCAAAGGAGUGGGCAGUGUCCCCCGUAAACGGUGGUGACCCGGAGCUUUGGUCGUGGCUGAUGGAUGCUGCUGUAACAACACUAGCUGAGUGUGCCUGAAAUACAGUGCCUUUUUCUCAGGGCUUGUGGAAUAUUGGCUCUGUGGUCUUGGCGUCGCAAGGAUCAGCAAAGAUAAUUUUAGACAGGAACAGAAAGUCUCUGUAAACCUUACAGUCAUAGCUAUUUCACUGGCAGAAAAAAACCCCACGAGGCGCCCAUGGCUGUGCAUUGCUGAAACAUUCUGCUCAGCAGGUGCGCUGGAGUAAAAAUUUAAAGGGAAAUCUGGGGACAGGAGAAUCUAAGGGUGAUUUCCAGAAAUUGCUGUGAUGCUCCAUCCCUUUAGUGAGGAGGUGGUGCAGCACACAGGAUGCAGGAACCAGAGCCUGGUAUUUGGUCCAGAGCCCUAUCCUAGUCCGUGGCAUGAGUCUGGACAAGCUGCUUUUCCCCUUUGCGUUAGUUUCCUGUUUUUGAAGUGUUAACUUUGUUCCUGCUUUUUUGGUAUUACAAUUUGAGAUUUAGUGCAGAUCAGAGCUAGAUGUUGCUUAUCAAUACUCCCUAUUUUUACAGUAAUGAAAAGGCUGUUCCUAAAUUGCUACAGAUGAAUGCCAGAACUCAUAUUCCCCUUCAUUUGCUGUCAACCUCCACAAAUGCUGCAGGUUGCAAUCCUUCUGACUUCUGCAUGGUAAGAACUGCAGGCCAUAAGCAACCAGGCUAAAAUUUGACCCUGCUUGCUGCUGUAAAACUGGGUGAAUUUUAUCAGCCUCAUCAGAAUUGGUCUGGAUUGAGUGAGAUGGGGAAGUUAACUCAGUGCUUCAUUACCCCCGGGGCAUUUUCUCCACUAGAAAGACAAAGGAGGAAAUAACAAAAGAAGGCAGCUCAGCAGUGGAACAACUUCAUGUUAAUUUAAGUAAGCAAGAAUGUAAUCAAGCUACUCUUCUACCUGGCUGCUUUUUUUUUAUUUUCUCUCUUUGGUUUUGUUGCCAGUAAAGCCUGUCUGAAAUACUUUUUAUGUGAGAAUGAAAUGCAUCUUGCUCCAGAAUCAGCUUAAGGACUGGCCACUGCUCAGCUCUCCCUUAAAUCCUCAAAACAGGCAAUGUACAGAGCUUACAAUGAUGUGUUUGCCUUGCAUACACGGGAAUUGGAUCUUAAAUCCCUGCCAGUCUGAGAAGGGAGGCUCGCCUUGAGUACAGCGAGGCCUUGAACCAGCGGGUAAAGCUUUGAGCAACAUCUCUGCCUGCAUUACCCGAGCACUUUGCAGCGUUCCCUGGGUUGUGCUGUAGCCGUGAGACAGGGCUGUGUGUGCAGUCCCUUUUCUAGAGGGGGAGGCUGAGCCCAGAGAGGCUGCACGGCUCCCACAGCCUCGGGCAGGAAAUUUGUGGCGAGUGUGAUGAAUUCUUCGCUGCCUUAGCAGGGUAACACCCGACCCUUCGGGCCAUCUCUGCUCUGCGCAUGGAAGGAGAUCGUGCUGCUAUACUGAAUGCGGCACGACUGCAGGGAUUUCUUGGAGAAUAAGCAUUUGUGGCUCAUGUGGGCUUUGUUCCAGGUGUGGAGGUGGUUUCUGCUGCUGCCAUUAUUAUUUGCUAUCUGCAAUGCCAUUAAUAAUUAUUUUAUUUCCCGAAGUUGUGAACCCCCACUCCUCACACUCUGUAACCCAGACAGAAGGUUGUUGUAGCAGUUUAGUUUUCUUAUGACAGGGUUUGUGCUCAGCUGCAUCAGAAUAAUGAAACCUUUUGGAGGUGUGUUGCUCGUGCAGGAUGGCCCCUUGGUUUGGCUUGGGAACUGCAGGCCCGUCUGUGUUUGUCAGGGCUGUGGCCACUUACUAAACCUGUCUGGGUUUGGCUCUCUGGAAUGGAGGGAGCUUGGCUCUUGUUAAAAUUGGCAGUUCCUUUUAUGGAGGGCUUCUGUGGGUAAGAUUAGAUGGGAGUUGAAUUAGCCCUACCCCUGUAUAGGGCAAGGUGAUGUACAGGCAUAGACUGGAAAAUCCCCAGCCCUGAUCUGCUUACUGUCUAACCAUAAGAAAUGCAUGGGGUAAUGAAAAAGGAAGCAAUGAGACAUAUUAGUCAGCAUGAUGGAUGUUCAUCAACAGCAGCCUUAUAGCUGUGGAGGAUUUGCUAGAGGGUAGUAAAAAGCCCUUCAAAACUGUCAAAAGAUAAUUAAGUAGCAUUGACUAUGAUUUCUGAGGAAUGCUGUGGGAAUUUAUGGUGGUUAUGGGGGGCCUGAGUUGCAGAAGUGGGUCUGGAGAGGUAAGCACUCAUUUCCCAACAGCAGCCAUGGCUGCUGUGACACUGGAGAGAAGCCACAGACUGGCAGUGCCUGUGGAGCACAACUGGGAUGGGCUGCAGGACAAAUCUGCCCAUAGCCUGGGUCUGGAUGGGUCUGAGUGCUACGGGAGCUGGCUGUGCCAGCAGUGAUAUGGGUGGUGCAGGGGAGAGCAAGAAUAUCAGUGUUUUUGCCUUCCAGUACAUCAGGUAGUCUCAAAAAGGGAUUUGCUUUCCUGGUGAACCUGAGCCUCACACCUGGAUGGAUAACACUCCUACCACUACUGCCACUUGGGCUGUGCCAGCUGAGGUGGAGGAGUAGGAGGACAUUGCAGAGAGACACACUGGGAAGGAAGAAGGUCUUGCUGUGUUUCCUGCAAGUGUGCAGUGGAUGGGAAUCUCUGACAGUUUCCUUUACCUCUCUCAUAUCUGUGUUAUGGGCUUGCAGGAUGUGGACAGAUUAUGAAUGGAGUCAAGAGUGGCUUGAUAGCUGUAUCUCUGCUCUGGCUGUAUUUAUAGCUCUGGGUUGACAGCUGGGUCAUGGUGAGCUAUAUAUACCUUCUGUGGUUGGUCUUGUCCAGGCAAGUGGCUGUGGGAAGUCUCCACUGAAAAACAGGCUAGUGUGAGUGGAGCAUUCCUUUCCCACCACCCUCUUUAGAUCUGUUCUGUGUGCCUGAAUCUGUACUGGUGGCCUGUGCUUGGUGUGCUGGCUCUUUUCUGGCACUCAGAGUGUAGAAAGGCUGGCUGCUGUGGGGGCAUGGACCUUCUGGGUGAGCCUGUGUAUUCCCAGUCUUCAGCAGGCAGUAUUCUCCUUCUGAGCUUUUGCAUUGCCUGAGUGGCACAGCUCAUAUCUCUGGAUGGGUGGUCCCCCAACAAGCUGCAUGUGGGUGCUGGGAUGGAGCAUGGUUACAGCAGCACUUCUGAAGGGAGCCAGGAAGCACAGCUUGCCAGUAUGGGCUGAAUCUGGCCAGGCAGAGCAACUUUUUCCCUGAGCAGGCUACCCUGUCAUCCUUCCCUGGGGCUCUGACACUUCUGGAUCAAAAACACUUGAAUGUAACCAAAACACAACUUCUGGCCAGUGUUUCCCCUGCCAGAUUGCCCAUCACAGAAGUCUUUCUCCCAACAUAUGAAGCUUUGCUCUUGCACUGAUCAAAAAGGUACUCCUGACCUUCCCUGCAGCUCCAUGGGCUUCCAGGCUCAUUUCCCCUCCUCUCCCGGAUCCUGACUGUCUCAGGCCCAGAUUCAGCAUCAGCCUCGCCACAUCAAGGUGGAAGUGGCCGGGCAGCUGGGAGGUGUCCGGCUGGGGAGGCCGCGCCCCGGGGCAGAGCGAGGCUGUCUCACCCCUUCUCCCAGCAGUGAGAGAGCAUCGGACGCCGCUGAGCGGAGGGAGGGCUGCUGUCCCAGAGCAGCGGCCUGCUGGUUACUGAAGGCACGGCACCAUCUGGUGGCAUGAAAGGAAUUUGUCUGAGAUACCUGGGAAGAAAGGCAGUCAGUUGGCAGCAGGAGAUCAUCUAGAUGGUCUGCCGGCUUCCCAUGUGCAAGCAGGAAUCUCCUGAGUUUGGCAUUGUGCCUCUACUUUUGAUAACCUUCUGUGGAUUUCAUCCUUUCUGGUUUUGGCUCAUCACCACCUGAACCUGUGAAGACUCCUGACAUUUGCUACACCUGCUGGAGGUGCAGCUGGUCUGGGACUUUAAAGAGCUGCCCAAGGUCCCUUGAUAUGCCAGGAGUGUCCAGAUUGUGGGUCUGCUGAUCUUCAGGCACAGAGCAGUGUUGGCAUCCAGCUCAGAACCAGAUGUCAAGGGUUGAAGCAUUUACUCCCCCAGACAAUGUAAUUCUGACCUUUUCCAUCUACCCUCCUGCCUUCCAAUGCCUGGUUUCUUUCCUGCUCUUACCUGGCACUUUCACAAACACAUAUUUCAACCUCCCACAUUCCUGCACUGCUGAGGAGACAAGUCUUUUACACUUGGAGGAAAAGAUAAUUGGUAUAGUUGAAAUACAAUUAGAGUAAUUGAAUAAUGAUUAAUUAAUUAAUAAUUGGUGAAAAAUUAGUAGUCAGAAUACUACAGUGAGUUUGGAAAAAUGACUCUGCUCCUUUUUUGGGGGCUGGUGUGAUUGAUGUGAGGUUAGCUGUGGCAGAGUAAUGUGUUCUCUGUGUUCCUGCUAGCUGUAUUUGUAUUAGACCACAGUGAGGGACAUCAGAGUUUGGAACCAGAAGAGUGUUUCCAAGGAUGAGGAUAGCAAAGCAGUAGACGAAAUUACUGAGGCAAGAAAUUAAUGCCCUUUCUUGGAGGUUCUUAAAAAGCAGCAUAAAAAAAUGGUGUAAUUCCUGUCCCCGUCCUCAGACAGUCACAGGACAUCCUCAGCAAAGGUUUCUGUAGUACACAGACAGAAGUGGAAGGACAUCUCUAGAGACCUGCCUGGCAAGUCCCCUCAUCUUAGGCCUAGACUCUUUCCUGUCAUGGAUCCAGAAAGGCUGGGUGCACUGUCUGUUUGGAACUGAGUCACCUCAUGCCAGGGAAGAUAAAAAAGUCCAAAAUCCAAGCAGUUCCCAGGAGAACAAUUUUUCUCCAGGAAACCAAAGACACAGCUCUGGCACUUUUCAGUCCAAUGUGGCUUCCUUCUGACUCUGGCUGGAGUUGGCUGUCCAGGGGAGACAAGGGGAAAUGUUUCAAGUUAGGGUGAGUUUAGGAAUGUGUUGGAAGAGCAGCAUAUGCUAGCAUGCAUCUGUGUGGGAAUAUCUAUGGGCAAAAAAAGGCAAAGUUCUCCUAAAGUGGGAGAACUUGCUUCAUCAUUUAUUUACAUGCUUCAACACUUGCAUUUUGAUGAGGGCUUAGAUAUUUUGUGUAUUAGCCAGAACAAACACAGCAAAUGGCUCUUCUAAACUGUUGAUGAAAUCAUUGAGGGGCUUUGUGUCCUUGUGGUUUUCCACUUAUUUGAGUUUCCUUUGAGAUGUGAACUUAAAAUCUGGCACUCAUGGGCCCCAUGUGACUUUGUGGUGUUCUUGGAACACUGCUUCUCUAUAAAACAGUGUCUUGAUCCCAUCCAAGCACAGAUGUUUGUUUGUUUUCUAUGACAGGUAUAGUAUCAAUGAUAUUUGCUUGUCGAGCCACCCAAGUCAUGCUUUAAUGGAAAUUCUUUAAAGAAGUGAAAAAUAUUCAUUGUAGUACACUGGUUCAGCAAAUACUGCAGUAAAACCUUUGGAAUAGAGACUGAAUGACAGAAAUAAGUGAGUUAUGUGUGGAGGGGAAAUGAAAAGCAUUUUUUAUGGCAUAUUGCAGUGGUUACUAAGCUUUAUGACUUUCUCAGCAGUCUCAGGAUAUUGUAUUUCUUUUUUUUUCCUUAAAGGCUCCUGGAAGAAAGACAUUGCAUAAGAAACUCCAUUUUCUAAUUAAAAAAAAAAAAUUAACUCUCAUGGUUGCUUAGAAAAACAUGAAAACAUGAGCUGAAUGUUCCAGAUAGGAUGUUGAAAUCAAAACCAAACAGGAUGGAAAUCUUGGUUCAUAGCUUUAUGCUCCAGACAGCAAACAAACAGCCUUAGAUUGGCUUAGAAAUUCUGCAGUUUGGAAAUGUAUCAGUGUCUGACUUUUGGGACCUGACUGCAGGCAUGAGGACACAUGUGAUUUUGGAAUCAGAGUUUAGUCUCCUUUUGUUAGACAAUAUUGACUUUCAUAAAAAGUAAAUACUUCUGUAAAAUAAAAGAAUUUUUAAAAAAAUAUUUCUCUGGUGGGACCACUUAUUUUUUCAAACUUUUCUUAGCAGUACUUGAGUCCCUUUUUGUCUCUUGUUUUGUUCCCCAACUGAUUUUAU